CAACUUUCAACAACGGAUCUCUUGGCUCUCGCAUCGAUGAAGAACGCAGCGAAAUGCGAUAAGUAAUGUGAAUUGCAGAAUUCAGUGAAUCAUCGAAUCUUUGAACGCACCUUGCGCUCCUUGGUAUUCCGAAGACAUGCCUGUUUGAGUGUCAUG
RNAcentral lists this ribosomal RNA (156 nucleotides) under Tricholoma magnivelare. RNAcentral's name for it is "5.8S ribosomal RNA". It matches the Rfam family "5.8S ribosomal RNA". From Rfam's summary of the family: 5.8S ribosomal RNA (5.8S rRNA) is a component of the large subunit of the eukaryotic ribosome. It is transcribed by RNA polymerase I as part of the 45S precursor that also contains 18S and 28S rRNA. Lineage: Eukaryota; Fungi; Basidiomycota; Agaricomycetes; Agaricales; Tricholomataceae. The record is from RNAcentral.